Molecule: ribosomal RNA, 305 nt
Filed under: uncultured bacterium
Lineage: Bacteria
Description: partial 16S ribosomal RNA
Rfam family: Bacterial small subunit ribosomal RNA
Source: RNAcentral
ACAGCAGUCGCCACGGUAAUACGUAGGUGGCAAGCGUUGUCCGGAAUUAUUGGGCGUAAAGGGCUCGCAGGCGGUUUCUUAAGUCUGAUGUGAAAGCCCCCGGCUCAACCGGGGAGGGUCAUUGGAAACUGGGAAACUUGAGUGCAGAAGAGGAGAGUGGAAUUCCACGUGUAGCGGUGAAAUGCGUAGAGAUGUGGAGGAACACCAGUGGCGAAGGCGACUCUCUGGUCUGUAACUGACGCUGAGGAGCGAAAGCGUGGGGAGCGAACAGGAUUAGAUACCCGCGUAGUCCCUGUCUCUUAUAC